RNAcentral lists this ribosomal RNA (502 nucleotides) under uncultured bacterium. Its description in RNAcentral is "partial 16S ribosomal RNA". It matches the Rfam family "Bacterial small subunit ribosomal RNA", at positions 30 to 523 of the family's 1533-position model. The record is from RNAcentral.
AUUGAACGCUGGCGGCAGGCUUAACACAUGCAAGUCGAGCGGGGUGAUGGUGCUUGCACUAUCACUUAGCGGCGGACGGGUGAGUAAUGCCUAGGAAUCUGCCUAUUAGUGGGGGACAACAUCUCGAAAGGGAUGCUAAUACCGCAUACGUCCUACGGGAGAAAGCAGGGGAUCACUUGUGACCUUGCGCUAAUAGAUGAGCCUAAGUCGGAUUAGCUAGUUGGUGGGGUAAAGGCCUACCAAGGCGACGAUCUGUAGCGGGUCUGAGAGGAUGAUCCGCCACACUGGGACUGAGACACGGCCCAGACUCCUACGGAGGCAGCAGUGGGGAAUAUUGGACAAUGGGGGGAACCCUGAUCCAGCCAUGCCGCGUGUGUGAAGAAGGCCUUAUGGUUGUAAAGCACUUUAAGCGAGGAGGAGGCUCUUUUGGUUAAUACCCAAGAUGAGUGGACGUUACUCGCAGAAUAAGCACCGGCUAACUCUGUGCCAGCAGCCGCCGCAG